RNAcentral lists this transfer RNA (65 nucleotides) under marine eukaryotic metagenome. It matches the Rfam family "tRNA", at positions 5 to 66 of the family's 71-position model. Rfam says of the family: Transfer RNA (tRNA) molecules are approximately 80 nucleotides in length. Their secondary structure includes four short double-helical elements and three loops (D, anti-codon, and T loops). Further hydrogen bonds mediate the characteristic L-shaped molecular structure. tRNAs have two regions of fundamental functional importance: the anti-codon, which is responsible for specific mRNA codon recognition, and the 3' end, to which the tRNAs corresponding amino acid is attached (by aminoacyl-tRNA synthetases). tRNAs cope with the degeneracy of the genetic code in two manners: having more than one tRNA (with a specific anti-codon) for a particular amino acid; and 'wobble' base-pairing, i.e. permitting non-standard base-pairing at the 3rd anti-codon position. The record is from RNAcentral.
CCGUAGCUCAGCUGGAUAGAGCAUCGGACUUCUAAUCCGAAGGCCGCAGGUUCGAAUCCUGCCGG